AUGAUUAAAGGUAUUCCGGUAGACGAUGGGGAUGCGUUCCAUUAGAUAGUAGGCGGGGUAACGGCCCACCUAGUCUUCGAUGGAUAGGGGUUCUGAGAGGAAGGUCCCCCACAUUGGAACUGAGACACGGUCCAAACUCCUACGGGAGGCAGCAGUGAGGAAUAUUGGUCAAUGGGCGAGAGCCUGAACCAGCCAAGUAGCGUGAAGGAUGACUGCCCUAUGGGUUGUAAACUUCUUUUAUAAAGGAAUAAAGUCGGGUAUGUAUACCCGUUUGCAUGUACUUUAUGAAUAAGGAUCGGCUAACUCCGUGCCAGCAGCCGCGGUAAUACGGAGGAUCCGAGCGUUAUCCGGAUUUAUUGGGUUUAAAGGGAGCGUAGAUGGAUGUUUAAGUCAGUUGUGAAAGUUUGCGGCUCAACCGUAAAAUUNGCAGUUGAUACUGGAUAUCUUGAGUGCAGUUGAGGCAGGCGGAAUUCGUGGUGUAGCGGUGAAAUGCUUAGAUAUCACGAAGAACUCCGAUUGCGAAGGCAGCCUGCUAAGCUGCAACUGACUAUUGAGGCUCGAAAGUGUGGGUAUCAAACUAGGAUUAGAUACCCUGGUAGUCCACACGGUAAACGAUGAAUACUCGCUGUUUGCGAUAUACAUGCAAGCGGCCAAGCGAAAGCGUUAAGUAUUCCACCUGGGGAGUACGCCGGCAACGGUGAAACUCAAAGGAAUUGACGGGGGCCCGCACAAGCGGAGGAACAUGUGGUUUAAUUCGAUGAUACGCGAGGAACCUUACCCGGGCUUAAAUUGCAGAUGAAUUACGGUGAAAGCCGUAAGCCGCAAGGCAUCUGUGAAGGUGCUGCAUGGUUGUCGUCAGCUCGUGCCGUGAGGUGUCGGCUUAAGUGCCAUAACGAGCGCAACCCUUGUUGUCAGUUACUAACAGGUUCCGCUGAGGACUCUGACAAGACUGCCAUCGUAAGAUGUGAGGAAGGUGGGGAUGACGUCAA
RNAcentral lists this ribosomal RNA (989 nucleotides) under Phocaeicola vulgatus. RNAcentral's name for it is "bacterial SSU rRNA". It matches the Rfam family "Bacterial small subunit ribosomal RNA", at positions 197 to 1188 of the family's 1533-position model. The record is from RNAcentral. Lineage: Bacteria; Pseudomonadati; Bacteroidota; Bacteroidia; Bacteroidales; Bacteroidaceae.